Megalobrama amblycephala (Wuchang bream) is the source of this 4891-nucleotide long non-coding RNA. RefSeq lists it as uncharacterized. The transcript is spliced from 2 exons. NCBI's taxonomy places the organism in Eukaryota, Metazoa, Chordata, Actinopteri, Cypriniformes, Xenocyprididae. The record is from RefSeq and is a predicted model, not a curated record.
GUAAUUUCAUUACCUUCAGAUUACCAUCUCACAACGUCGUCAGUAUGUUCUCCUAACGUUAUAAGAUUACCAAGAACGUUCCAGAUACGUCCUAUAUUCGUAAUAUAUUGGUAAUUCCAUGACUUACUAGUAACGUAACUACAACGUUGUAUGCCCGUAAUAAUAUUACCAUCAAAUUACCAUAUCAGAACGUCGUCAGUACGUUCUCCUAACGUUACAAGAUUACCAAGGACGUUCCAGAUACGUCCUCUAUUCGUAAUAUAAUGGUCAUUCCAUGACUUACUGGCAACGUAACAGCAACGUCAUGUGCUCGUAAUUUCAUUACCAUCAUUUACACAUUCUUUAUAUGUUAUUAUUACCAGAAUUUGCAAUAUAAAACGUGUAAUUAAAUGUCAGACACAAGACUGAAAUGUCCCUUAAGAAAUUUUUUUUUCUUUUCACCAAAUCAGAGUAUGGAUGACUGCUUUUGAUGUGACAUACAGCGCGCGCCUCCACAAAUGGAGUGCGCGCGUGCCCACGGUAUGUUGAUAAGAGUGUAAAGUUAAUUUUUCUGAGAGAAGAAUUUAUUUUUCCGAGGUGACAACGAAUAAAUGGCUUUUAUAAAAAUGUAUAAAGUUAACUUUGGAAAGACGCAAAACCUUUUUUUAUUGUUAUGUUUACGUUAGUGCUGGUGGCCGUUAGAGUUGCCAUGGCAACCGGGAAAACAUUCAAGCUGCUGGAGAGGACAGCGUCAACGUUUCUCCGUACGUGUUUCUCGUCAGUUUUAUAGCAAUAAAGUUCAACAACUGCGUCAGAUUGGUUAAGUGACAUUACCCACAGUCUACUUUAAGUACUUUUGUUAAUAUUUUUACCUCUGUGAUUUCCUUGAUCGUCUGAAAUAUAUGUUAGCAAAUGGUACGUUAGCAUAGCAUAUGUUUUUAAUGAUACUGAGAGCAAAACGUCUUGAAUGCUUUUAUUUUAUGUUUUGCUGUAGGCUAUAUGUUUUUAUUUAUAGUUUGAGUGUAUUUUAUUAUUUUUAUUUGGAGUUUUGUUCAUGUUCUGUGUGUUUUUCAAAAUAAAUUAAUUUAAUUCAUUUUGAGUCUGCAUUCAUCGUUCACAGCUGUUGGAAUAGCCUUUACAUUAGUUUGGGCAAAUGAGGACAUAAAUUAGGUUAAACUACUGCAUGUCCACCCAUAGAAAAAUAAAUAAAUAUAAGAAUUACCAACUGAUGACCAACACACAACUAUUGAUACACAACGUUGCCACGACGUCGCAGUUACUAACUGGCAACGUCACAAAGUUACGUUGUGGCGACGUAUAGGCACCUUUCACUUUUCCGGUUGCCACGAUGAAAGUUUGGUCACCAAAUUACGUUGCAGUUACGUAACAGUCACGUAUUUUGGUUAGCUGGGUUUGUACUUCACUCACAUUAUCGAUGUAAAACAUCAUUCUUCACAUAUAACAGCACAGUCAGGAGGUGGUCACGGGUGCUAAACGGCAGAUUAUAUUACAGAAUUGAAUUGAGCAGUGUAACUUUUGGUUGAUUAUUUUAUUUUAAUAUUCAACAGCUGCGAUAUCAAGUAAGCAAUGCAAAAAUUAGUGUGCGCGCGCGUGAGGCGCCGGCGCGAGCACUGGAUUUGUUUUCCUUCUAUAAGACAGUAAACUGUAGGUCUACUGCGUAAUUAAUGGUCAUACAGGUAAAAGCAAGACAUAAUUCAUACAUUUACAAAAGACACAAAUAACGAAAACAAGCAGAAUGUCUGUUUCCUUUUCUAGAUCUUUGGAGUGCGCCACAAAUAACCACUUUCGCUUUGUUAAUCUGUAGACCUAAUUAUUUAAGUGAAAUAUUUCGCGUAGCCUAUAGGCUUAAAUAUUCCCUUUUAUUUUAUGUGUGUUAUAUAGGUAGGCCUAUAGUUUUCUCCAUUCACAGAAGCGCUGCGGAUCGUGAUGUGACGUUGAAAAUUGUACUCGCUGGUACAACAAGCUGCAUAUUCCUUGACAUUAAUUUUUACUUAAUGUAGGCCUAAUACUUGACGGUUGGUGACAUAUAUCAUUGGAAAAACUAAUGCCAGCAUUGCCAUUGUGACUUACCUAACCAAUGAUGACUUGACAGCUGAGCCUGAGCGCGUCAGCGCGGGCAUCUCACUGUAGAGCAUGAGCGCAGGCAUUUCACACACUUUGGAUGCGUCAGCAUCACGUUUGCACAGGCUGUACUAUUUGAAUUCGUGAUUGGUUGACUGCCAAAUCAAAAUAUUAAACAGAACGAUAAAAUAACGUUAUUAUCCGGUUAAUGGGCAUUUCAAAUUACCGUUUCUGUUCAGAACGAUUAAAUUUGAUUUCGUUUCCGUUUCUGGUUACGUUCCGGUAAAAAUUUCGUUCGUUUCCGGUUUUCGUUUUCGUUCCUUAAACCGGUUCAGAGCCCUGUUUCAAAGUAUUCCAAAGUAUUUAGAUUAAGUUACUAAACUUGAGUAAUGUAACGAAAUACGUUACAGAUUACUUUUUAAAGCAUGUAUUUUGUAAUCUGUAGUGAAAUACAUUCUAAAAGUAACCUUCCCAACCCUGAGGAUGAAUAGGGCAUGUGGUAAAGACAUGCCUUGCUGCACCACAGUACAAACAUGAGCCCCGGGUCAGCCGACUCUGCCGAACCUUGUCGUAGGUGAUAGAGUUGCUCACCCCCAGAUGAAUCACCUGCUGGUCUGCCGAAAACCUCCUUGAAAUGGGUGAUGAAGUUAUUCAGACACUGGGUAAUGGGUCCAGCUUGUGACCAGAUGGUUUCUGCCCAUUUGAGUUCUCGUCUGUUCAACUGAGAGAUGAUAAAUGCUACCUUAGAGUAAUCGUCAGGGUAUAGACGCAGCUGCAUCUCCAGGGCCAGUGAACAAUGCAGAAGGAAUCCAUUGCAGUCCUCCGCCGAGCCAGAGGGCACUGGGCAAGGGCGCUGGUUUGGCCAUGGGACUGGCGCACACCGGUGGUGAAGGAGUGGAUGCGGUGGUGACGGAAGUGAGAGCUGGCGUGGGUGCAGGUGGAUUGGUGUUAAGAACGCAACGAAGACCAUCCACAAGCUCUUGAAAUGGGUCUGUUGAACUCUUCUGUCCGGUCUUCUGUUAUGGACAGAGGGACAAGAGACACAGAUGCAAACAUAGAUGGGAGUUAUUGAACAAACAGCAAGGUGAACACAGUGAUGCAGGUAAGUGAACUGGAAAUGUAGACUUUGCAGAGAGGUAACUGAAUAAUGAUACUGUCCUUUGUCUUACAGAAACGUAGAUCUUUGAUGGAUGGUUGAUUCUCAAUGGAGUGAACACACAUUGGAGGUAGAUAGACUCACACACAGAUAACGAAGCACGGAGACCAGGUGCUGAUGGGGAACAGGCGCAUGUGAUUAGAACUCUGGUGAGGGAGUGUGCUGUGAUUGGCUGAUGGUGGAGCUUGGCGAGUCUGUGACAGUCAUAGGCAGGUGACGUCAUGACCAGGAACCUAUAAAGCAUACUUGGGGAAUAAGAAAGCUUUUUACCAUGUUAAUCAUAAUCAAAGGGAUGUUCCAGGUGUCCAGGCAAGUUUAUCUCCAUUCACAACAUUUGUGUCACAAUGUUGAUCUCAACAGAAAAUAACUUUUGACUCAUCUCUCAGUUGUGUUUGUUGUUUAUUUUUUAAUUUAUAUAGAUCAGCAGCCGGCAACUUUAUGGGACACGAAGUGAUAAUCACAGAAGACUCACAGUAUCACAGAAACCUCUGGUCGUAUGAAUGGAUCGUCUGAUCUGCAGAUUAAAAUCUCUUUAAUAGUAUUUAUAGCACCUAACUUAAUAAAACAGGCUGUGGCUAUGAGGAAUUAUUACCUCAAAAUGUACCCAUAUGCAAGUUUGAGUGACUUUAUUUAAAUUAAAUACAUUAGCUAUUGUCACAUGUCAGUGAUUAUCCUGAUCUCUGAUAUAUUUCUGACCUCCAAUAUAGAUGGUCACUCCACUGUCUGCAGGGUUCCCGCGGGGUCUUAAAAAGUCUAAAAUUCUGAACUUUAAAUUUAAGGCCUUAAAAAGUCUUAAAAACGGCCAAAUUUUCAUCCGAGGUCUUAAAUUUCAUUUAGUCAGGUCUAAAAAUUUUUCAACCCAUUUCCAGAAACGCUACCUGCUGAAAGUUAUUACAAAGUAGCAACAAAGUAGCAAAAAAGUAGCGAGUCGUAGUUCUUUCUGGGGUAUAUUGGUGUUGGUAUACGCGUUGAUAAAACUACAAAUCCCAUGAUAAAUGCAAUAACUUACCUGCCCGCGAGAUACGUCUGCGUCUCCUCAGAGUUUGUUAAAGUUCGGCUACGUGUGGAAAAUGGGAAAGUGUACUUUCAACGAGACAUGGCUAGAUCACAGUGUGUAGUGUAGGCCUAUAGGCGACCGUUAUUUUAUGGUUUCCAUGGUGACGCGUCAUUGCUUGUUACGUGACACACCGCAGCAGCAACAGCGCUGAAUGAAUGAUGAUCUGCUUUUAUGUCAUUUUUCCUUUUUUAUUCAGAAUAUUCACAAAUGUGUUAGCUAUGGCAUGAAAUAUCUGAUAUUCCGAUUGUCAAAUACAUGCAAGUGGAAGUGUAUUGUUGUUUAAACACCUUUAUAACGAUCGCGUUAGUUGAGCUGUAUGCACGAUAUAAUUUUAUGACACAAAAUUUUGAAAUUUAGGCUUAAAUCAAACACAUUUUAAUUCAGAUUCUGUAUAUAUAUAUAUAUAUAUAUAUAUAUAUAUAUAUAUAUAAACGGAAAACAAAAACAACGAAAAAACAGCUGGCUGACCCCUAGAGGGGUGGGGAAAAGGGGUGGGCGGCUGCCCAUUUGGCACGUUGUUGUGUGUUUAAGGUUACUAAUGUGAUUGCUUUAUCUGUAAAUUAAAUUAAUGCUUUUUCAAUGACUGAAUUCAUUGAAAUAAAAUGAUUUUUUCAGAA